This 129-nucleotide small nuclear RNA is filed under the name Prolemur simus (greater bamboo lemur). RNAcentral describes it as "U1 spliceosomal RNA (ENSPSMG00000021396.1)". It matches the Rfam family "U1 spliceosomal RNA", at positions 1 to 112 of the family's 166-position model. From Rfam's summary of the family: U1 is a small nuclear RNA (snRNA) component of the spliceosome (involved in pre-mRNA splicing). Its 5' end forms complementary base pairs with the 5' splice junction, thus defining the 5' donor site of an intron. Lineage: Eukaryota; Metazoa; Chordata; Mammalia; Primates; Lemuridae. The record is from RNAcentral.
AUACUUACCUGGCAGCGGAGAUACCAUGAUCACAAAGAUGGUUUUCCCAGGACGAGGCUUAUCUAUUGCACAAGAUACAGAAGGGCUGCCCAGAAUGCACUGGAAUUAGAAUGUAAGUAAAACUCUGAU